RNAcentral lists this transfer RNA (81 nucleotides) under Monoraphidium minutum. RNAcentral's name for it is "tRNA-Ser". It matches the Rfam family "tRNA". Rfam says of the family: Transfer RNA (tRNA) molecules are approximately 80 nucleotides in length. Their secondary structure includes four short double-helical elements and three loops (D, anti-codon, and T loops). The record is from RNAcentral. Lineage: Eukaryota; Viridiplantae; Chlorophyta; Chlorophyceae; Sphaeropleales; Selenastraceae.
GCUGCCGUGGCCGAGUGGUUAUGGCGGAAGAUUCGAAAUCUUCUGGGGUGACCCGCGCAGGUUCGAUUCCUGUCGGCAGCG